Molecule: unclassified non-coding RNA, 328 nt
Filed under: fungal sp.
Lineage: Eukaryota; Fungi
Description: partial internal transcribed spacer region
Source: RNAcentral
AAGUUGUAACAAGGUUUCUGUAGGUGAACUUGCAUAAAGAUUAUUAGGUGAUAAUGGCUGUCCUUUAGGUGCCCAUCUGUCCAUCUUGCAUCUUGUCUCAUACAGAUUAUCCUGUUCAGGAGAUGAUUUUGUAUUGGAAAAAAAAUAAGGAAAAGAGAGAAAUCUCUUGUAUGCAUCUAUUGAAAUGUUGCUUUGGGAAAGUGAGUUUUUAAAGAAGCCCUUUUGAAGCUCCUUUCCAGAGUUUUGUUCUUACGCAUGCUUUAACUUUUAGGCUGAGAAAAAAAAUAUUAAUCCAAUACAACUUUCAACAACAGAUCUCUUGGCUCUU